AACGAACGCUGGCGGCAUGCCUAACACAUGCAAGUCGAACGAGACCUUCGGGUCUAUUGGCGCACGGGUGCUUAACGCGGGGUAACCUACCCUUAGGUUCGGAAUAACUCCCCGAAAGGGGUGCUAAUACCGGAUAAUGUCUUCGGACCAAAGAUUUAUCGCCUUUGGGUGGGCCCGUGUUGGAUUAGCUAGUUGGUAGGGUAAAAGCCUACCAAGGCGACGUUCCAUAGCUGGUCGGGUAGGAUGAUCCGCCACACUGGGACUGAGACACGGCCCAGAAUCGUACGGGAGGGAGCAGUGGGGAAUAUUAGGCAAUGAGCGCAAGCCUGAUAACGCCGUGCGGGGUGAGUGAUCAAGGCGUUAGGGUUGCAAAGCCCUCUUACACGGGAUGAUAAUGACAGUACCGGGAGAAUAAGCACCGGCUAACUACGUG
RNAcentral lists this ribosomal RNA (433 nucleotides) under uncultured bacterium. Its description in RNAcentral is "partial 16S ribosomal RNA". It matches the Rfam family "Bacterial small subunit ribosomal RNA", at positions 29 to 507 of the family's 1533-position model. The record is from RNAcentral.